GGGAAGGUGGCUCAGUGAUAGAGUGCUUGCUUUACAUGCAUGAGGCCCUGGGUUUGAUUCCUCAGCCCCA
Non-coding RNA from Dipodomys ordii (Ord's kangaroo rat), 70 nucleotides. Lineage: Eukaryota; Metazoa; Chordata; Mammalia; Rodentia; Heteromyidae. The record is from Rfam.